ACUCAGCACCCGCCCCCACCUCUCGGGGUUCUGGGGAGAUGCGGUGAGACACGGGGAGUCUGCAGCUAAUUGAAGGAUUUGUGUGUGAUCUCAGAUGAGGAAACUGAGGCUGCGCAAAGCUCAGGGUUUCUGUUCAAGGUCACAUCCCAGGAGGUGGGAAGGAUUAACGUCUUCCUGGCCCAGCCUUCCCCUUUGGGCCCUGCCUGCUGCCCUGCCACUAGCGCUCAGCCUUUCCCGGAGGAGGGGGGUGAUGUGAACGAACCACUAUGGCCCAGAGCGCCGGAGCACGGCCCAGCGGCCCUGCAGGCGGUGAGGGCCCAGAAAGCGGGACCCACCUAUCACCUCCCACAGCGACCUCUCCCAGUGGUCAAGGUGUUCUCAGCGGAGCUUAGAAGUCAGCCAGCAGGUCGAAAAAUAAGGCUGACGGGGGAGCAUCAGAGAGAGUCGGGAGAGACGGUCUCUGGAGGCUCUGGAGCUGGGACGCCGUGGGGCUGGCCUGUUCCUGCCCUUACCCUGCAGGCCGUGGCACUCUGGGGUCCCCUCUAGACCUCAGCCCCUCAUCUGGUCAAUGGGGGUACCGCCAUUCCCUCUCUCGUGGGCAUUCUGGGCCCACGGCACCCCCUCACACCAGCCCACCUCAGCACAAGAGAGUGAAGGACCUCCCCUGAGCCCCGCAAAGCACCUGACCGUGCAUGUCCCAGAAGCCUCCCAAAGCAGGCAGGCCUGCAGGCCCAGGGCUGGUUAGGACUGCCCCUGGAAUCACAGUGAACUGGUACAAGAGCAAAAGCCAGAUCACCUCUGAUUCCUGUGUCCGAUGU
Molecule: long non-coding RNA, 818 nt
Organism: Bos taurus (domestic cattle)
Lineage: Eukaryota; Metazoa; Chordata; Mammalia; Artiodactyla; Bovidae
Source: Ensembl